RNAcentral lists this ribosomal RNA (475 nucleotides) under uncultured organism. RNAcentral's name for it is "partial 16S ribosomal RNA". It matches the Rfam family "Bacterial small subunit ribosomal RNA", at positions 334 to 800 of the family's 1533-position model. The record is from RNAcentral.
CACUCCUGCGGGAGGCAGCAGUGGGGAAUUUUGGACAAUGGGCGAAAGCCUGAUCCAGCAAUGCCGCGUGUGUGAAGAAGGCCUUCGGGUUGUAAAGCACUUUUGUCCGGAAAGAAAUCCUUGGCUCUAAUACAGUCGGGGGAUGACGGUACCGGAAGAAUAAGCACCGGCUAACUACGUUCCAGCAGCCGCGGUAAUACGUAGGGUGCGAGCGUUAAUCGGAAUUACUGGGCGUAAAGCGUGCGCAGGCGGUUUGCUAAGACCGAUGUGAAAUCCCCGGGCUCAACAUGGGAACUGCAUUGGUGACUGGCAGGCUAGAGUAUAGCAGAGGGGGGUAGAAUUCCACGUGUAGCAGUGAAAUGCGUAGAGAUGUGGAGGAAUACCGAUGGCGAAGGCAGCCCCCUGGGCCAAUACUGACGCUCAUGCACGAAAGCGUGGGGAGCAAACAGGAUUAGAAACCCCUGUAGUCCCAUGA